This 3797-nucleotide long non-coding RNA is filed under the name Podarcis muralis (Common wall lizard). Its description in RNAcentral is "lncRNA (ENSPMRG00000007078.1)". The record is from RNAcentral. Lineage: Eukaryota; Metazoa; Chordata; Lepidosauria; Squamata; Lacertidae.
AUGACUUCUGAAACAAUGUAUGAUAUCCACUCUGCAAGAGAAUGUGCACAGCUAACCAUUUCCUACUUGCUCACUCAAUGCAAAGAAACGGUUUUGAUAAUCUGUUAUAAAAAUAAUAAUUCUCUAUGUUUAUUUCCCAUUAACUCAAUGGGGCAGUUAAGCAUCAAGCCUAAAUUUAAAUCCCUUGCUUAUAAAUCAGCGGUCAGGUCUCCUUGCAAACACCUGGACUCAGAUUCACAGCAGAAGCCUUGACCUCCCCGUUCUUGAAAGGUCCCAGAUAGGGAUAUAUGCCAAAGAUCUUAUGAGCAAAAUUGAUUCCCAGUUCACAAGAGCUUUUGCAUGCAAAGCAGAUGUGUAGUUUCUAUUAGUAUUGGUCUUUCCCUGGGCAUCUCUCCCAGAAAACAAAGAGCAAGAGGAAGGGUGUAUUACUAUCCCAACUGUAACACACUGCCAUGGUUGGAGCUGGCAGCUCGAUUCAAGAGGAACACAGAGGAAUUGCUGGAGGAGAAAAGAUGUUGUUAAUUAAAUAUUGCAAGUGUCUCACUUAGGGGGCCUCUUGGGCGACUCAUGACUUUUUGGCUUGUGGGACGUCUUUGUUCUGAAAUUCUAUAACCAAGAACACACUGGGCUUGCUGUCUCUUCACCAGAUGCUCUUUGCAUUAGCACUGCACCAUGCCUCUGUAUAACAAAACUCCAAAAUAAAUACAUUAGCCCACACGGCCUGGUCAUCUCGUGUUAUUUGGGAACCAAAUUAUUAGCCACAAGAAAAGAGGCCUCUCUCUCUGUCGUGCUUACAUGCAGUCUCCAUGGGUUCACUUCCAUAGACACAUAACGUGCUGUAGGGGUCAUUCAGCUAGGACCCAGAAGAUCAGGGUUCAAAUAUCUACCUGGCCAUGAAGCUCAUGGAGUGACCUCAGGCGAGUUACUAUCUCUCAUCCUAACCUACUUUUCUGGGUUGUGAGGAUAAAAUGGAAAGGGGGGAGAAUUGUGUGUGCUCCCUUUGAGCUCCAUCUCAAACUCCAAGGAAAGGUGGGAUACAGUUGUAGUGAUAAAUGUAGUGAUAAAUGAAAAUAAUAAUUGUUGUUGUUGUUAAAAUUUAUAUACUGCCCUAUACCCGAGGGUCUCAGGGCGGUUCACAGAAUAAAAUCAAGAUACAAAACCACAAAAUACAUAAUAAAAAUAAAAACAACAACCCAAUACACUUCAAGUUACAUACGCUUCAGGUUACAGACUCCGCUAACCCAGAAAUAGUGCUUCAGGUUAAGAACUUUGCUUCAGGAUGAGAACAGAAAUCGGACUCUGGCGGCGUGGCAGCAGCAGGAGGCCCCAUUAGCUAAAGUGGUGCUUCAGGUUAAGAACAGUUUCAGGUUAAGAACAGACCUCCAGAACGAAUUAAGUACUUAACCCGAGGUACCACUGUACCCCCCCCAAAAAAAACCCCACACAUUUUAAAAGGGCAUAGGAUGUAAAUCAGAUCAACCAAAGGCCUGGUUAAAAAGAAACGUUUUUGCCUGACACCUAAAGGUGUAUAAUGAAGGCACCAGGCGAACUUCCCUGGGGAGAGCAUUCCAUAGACAGGGAGCCACUGCAGAAAAGGCCCAUUCUCAUGUUGCCACCCUCCGAACUUCUCAAGGAGGAGGCACAUGAAGAAGGGCCUCAGACUCUCAGAAAUAAUCUUCUUUUACUGGGAAGGGGCAGUAUCCAAAUGAAGUUCCACUGAAGUCCCCUUCUCCUCCCCCAUGCCCUCCCAAAAUAUGCUCCAGCUUUCCCCACAAUCCUCCAGAGCAGAUUUAGGUUGUGCGCAGGGAAAGGAGAGGGCAGAGCAGUUACACUGCACAGCUAAAAGUCAUUGCUCAAAGCACACUGUAUCUGUUUAGCUGUAUGCUGCCCUAGGGGAAUGAUCUUAAUGCCUCUGGUGGCAAUCACUUGACAACAAAAAUGGCUGCUGGAAAUAAAAAUAAUAGUGCUGCGAAACUGUAGGAACAUAGCUUGCUGAGGUCAGUCACUGGGGCAGGGGUGGGGGAGAGACUCUGUUGAAGUAAGAGUGUUUGUGUUUCGUCUUAAUCCAAUGUGUUUAUUUAGCUUCAUGGUCCUUUGCAUCCCAAAGGUAACAAAAGCAAUCGCUCUGGCUUCCCCUAGCAAGGCAAAAUAAGCCUUGUGUUAAAAUAUCAUUGAAACUGCCGCACCCUUUUCUGAUUUAAAGCCCUGGUGCACACAGUAACCUUUGCAGUAACCUUUCCGAAAGGCCUUCAGGCUCAAACUUUGGCAAGUCAGCUGAGAGGAAAGAAGCAGUCACCAAAAAACCACUUCUCUUUGUGCCCUUGCUUCCAAACCUGAUGCAGAGAUCGUAUCGCCAACAACAGGCAUCAAAACAUCCACUGAGACACGGGGGGGGGGGGGGAGAAGAGGCAGUCUCUGUUCAGGUUAAAACCAGAGUUUGAAUUCUGAGGCUGAGAAACACAUCCUUGAAUUGCUACACUUCAUUCUCAGUAGGAUAUGAAGACUGGGCGGUUUAAAUUCUUGCACUGGUGUGAGGAUUAGCACUAACAGGACAUGAUUUGCACCCUCCUCCCUGCCUCAUGCACAUUUCACCCCAAAAUCCGUUCCAGGGUGAUGGGGGAACCCCAAGAACAGAAUGUGAGCUCACAUAGGGAGAGAACCUUCUGCUGCACAAGGAGAAAUCUGUGUGUUGACAUAACAUUCGGCUUGUCACUGCAUUGAACACAAACUGCUCUGCCUGUUGUUGUUGUUUUGCCCUCUAACAAGCAAAGCCUAAUUUCAUCCUGCAAAGGAGAGAGAGAGAUUGAUGGUCAAAGGGUUUGCUGAAAUUGUGGAGUGAACUGAAGCCCUUUGUGCCUCAGCCUCCCCUGUUUGCCUCUCAUAGGCCCCGCCCCCUUUGCAGAAAAAUCUCUUAAAGGGCCGGCCCUCUGACAGGCUCCUUUCCUGCAUUCCAUGACCUCCUGCCUGGCAUGCUCCCUGUGCUUCAUGACUGGUGAGGUACUAAAGGAGGCACACUUCUUCAGGCCUAGGGGAAGGUGCCUAUGAAGGUCUUGGCUCCAGCUCUGCAGCCCUGAUACUGCGAAACCAGGUUCGGUGGACUCCUGCCUGCCUGCCUGCCAGCCUCAGGUGCAACAUGUUCCAAGCCAAGAACCUAAUCUGGCUCCUUAGCCAAUGACACCCUGUCUUCCUGUCUAUGAAAUGAGGAUUCAUUGACCUAUCUACCUGGAACCUGAGAGGUCUGAUGCUUUAGAGGAGUAGUAGAAUACUUGAAAAUGUCAUGCAAAUAUGCUGUAAAGCACAGACAUUAAAAGCAGGAGAAAUACGGCUGGGUCUACCUCCCAAAACAAUGGAAAGAUCAAUGGACUCUUCAGUGGGGAGCCCUUUUUAUCAAUCUGUAUGAAGUUGUUCUUAUUAUUAAUUAAAUUUAUAUAUCCUACCCCUCAUCAUAAGAUCUCAGGGUGGCUCACAGAAUAAAAUGCAAGAUAGACACAAGUUUGAAGGGUAUGAUGCCUUGAGUGAAUAUCAGAACACCUGAAAGCUCCAUAUCAUUAGAUAGAAAACAUUGAAGUUGCUUUCAGAAUAUAGCUAUGUGAUUUGGUGUAUAUGUAUGAAAGCUGAAAAUGAAUGAGCCAAUAAUGAAUGAAAAAUGAGGCAAGUGCAAUGCAAAGAAAAAUGAAAUGAAUGAAAGAUUUAAAAGGAAAGAGACUGAAAACCAAAGUGGAUGGAUUUCAACUAAGUGAUAAUGAAAGAAAUUGCGGCUUUAAGAUGAAAAUGAAUAGAUAAAUGAAACAAUUUCC